This 1598-nucleotide long non-coding RNA is filed under the name Cairina moschata (Muscovy duck). RNAcentral's name for it is "domestica (muscovy Duck (domestic type)) lncRNA (ENSCMMG00000006032.1)". The record is from RNAcentral. Lineage: Eukaryota; Metazoa; Chordata; Aves; Anseriformes; Anatidae.
AAAAAAAAAAGAAGCGAGAGGGAGAGAAGAAGGCGCGCUGCCUCUCUCCGGGAGCCAAAAUAUCCUCGAUGUGGCAGAGCCGGCCAACAACAACAGCGGAGGAGAAGGAGGAGGAGGCAGCGCCGGCUUGAUCCCAGCGGAGAGUCCCGGAGGAGGAGGAGGAGGAGGAGGAGGAGGAGGAAGGGGGCGGGAGGAAGGAGGAGGGAGGCAGGCGGCUGCGUGGGCGCUGCCGAGCCGAGCCGUGCCGUGCCGAGGCGCCGCUCGGAGCCGUGUGCGCUGCGCUGCGCUGUGCCGCGCCGCCCGGCCUGCCCGGCGCUCUUCAGCGGGCAGGGGGCGGUGGCGGCGGGGGGACCGCCCCCCGGAGCCCGGCCCCUUCGCCGGCAGGGCGGCGGGGAGCGGGGCGGAGGCCGGGGGAGGCCUGGGCCAGCUCGCCGUGCCCUGGUUUUGGAGGAAGAAGCCAAGUGGAUAACCAGCUGCCUGGUAUUUUUCAGGUGAAAGAAAGAGCAAAGUCAUUUUGAUUUGGAGUACAGUGGAGGCUGUGGCAGCAGACGACAAGGUACAAAAGUCGGUGUGUAGGAAGGACUAAAUCUCAUGAGUCAGGCCGCUGGUAAGGGCUGGAAGCCUGUGGCUAAUGUGAUGUAAAGCCUCGGGGAAAAAGGUGGUGAAGUGACAAACCACAAGGAUGACUUUAGCAGCAGCAGUUUCUAUAGGGUUUGAGUGGGGAAGGGUUGAAGAUGGAAGAGGAAGAGAAAAGACUGCAACAGUUCAAAGGGAAGAGAAACGUCCAUUUGAAGGAUUAUGCCUCGUCUCUGCAGGAUAAUGGAUGGAAGCCUAGAAACUGUUAAAGGAAGCCUGAUUUCCUGUGCCUCUCCAUGGCAGACUCCUGAUUAAUUCAAGCUUUGUAACAUUUCUUUCAAUGGGGACACUGACAAGGUCAGUCUCCUACCCAGUUGCUCGUUUUCAGUAAGUAUAGCAACGUAAUAAAUUUGAAACCUCCUGUAUCCUGCCAAAUGUGACAGCAGUUGGCUCAGGGUUCAAAAUUUAUUAAAAGGAAAUGGCCACCUCAAGCAUUCUCUGAUGGACUAUUUCAUAAGAAAAAUAUGAAAAAAAAAAGCAAAAUAUCUGAAUCAACUCAAUGGCUUUUAAAUAACUGUUUGACUCAUGUUAAUGAAUUACACAUUCUAUAUUUCCAUUAAAAAUAUUGUAUAUUUAAUGUUACUCUUUUGAGCUAAAAACAUGUCAGAAAUGGCUUUUGGUGAACCAAAGAGAAGAGCUCUGAAAAAGUUGUUAAUGUGUAGCUGUUGGCUAAUGCUUUGGUUCCCCUACCAGGACUACACACUGCUUCAGCCCCAGUUACGACGUCUCUGAGAGGUGGUACUUGUGAAGAGAAGGUAUUUGAAGAGGCAGCUUGAGUAUUUGAUAGCAUACUCUGAGGUGCUGGGGUGAGCUGGUCAUUUAGAAACCAAAUCAAUAGGCAUGCAUCUCGAGGGAAUAGUAAACACAGUUGGAGUCAUUCCUAAUUAUUGGGAUACAGCUCUGUCAUCAGCUCCUUCUCCAGAUACUAUUAUUUAUAGAAAUAAUUAUUAUGCAGCAUUUAC